AUAUAUAUAUCAAACUUCUCUUUGUUGAGUGGUUUGGAUGUGGGGGUUUUCUGCUGGGCCCUUGUAAAGGGUUCAGCUCCCCUGAAAUGCAUUAGCAGAACAACCCUGUUCAUUGGUGUGAUAAACUAUCUAUGCUAUUGAAUGGUGAGGGGCAGUUCAGCUUUCUAACAGUCCUUGGACAAAUUCAUCAUUA
RNAcentral lists this unclassified non-coding RNA (193 nucleotides) under uncultured Cortinarius. RNAcentral describes it as "sequence contains ITS2". The record is from RNAcentral. Lineage: Eukaryota; Fungi; Basidiomycota; Agaricomycetes; Agaricales; Cortinariaceae.